GAUGAACGCUGGCGGCGUGCCUAAUACAUGCAAGUCGAGCGAACGGACGAGAAGCUUGCUUCUCUGAUGUUAGCGGCGGACGGGUGAGUAACACGUGGAUAACCUACCUAUAAGACUGGGAUAACUUCGGGAAACCGGAGCUAAUACCGGAUGAUAUUUUGAACCGCAUGGUUCAAAAGUGAAAGACGGUCUUGCUGUCACUUAUAGAUGGAUCCGCGCUGCAUUAGCUAGUUGGUAAGGUAACGGCUUACCAAGGCAACGAUGCAUAGCCGACCUGAGAGGGUGAUCGGCCACACUGGAACUGAGACACGGUCCAGACUCCUCCGGGAGGCAGCAGUAGGGAAUCUUCCGCAAUGGGCGAAAGCCUGACGGAGCAACGCAGCGUGAGUGAUGAAGGUCUUCGGAUAGUAAAACUCUGUUAUUAGGGAAGAACAUAUGUGUAAGUAACUGUGCACAUCUUGACGGUACCUAAUCAGAAAGCCACGGCUAACUACGUA
This 497-nucleotide ribosomal RNA is filed under the name uncultured bacterium. RNAcentral's name for it is "partial 16S ribosomal RNA". It matches the Rfam family "Bacterial small subunit ribosomal RNA", at positions 28 to 507 of the family's 1533-position model. The record is from RNAcentral.